This 1458-nucleotide long non-coding RNA is filed under the name Lactuca sativa (garden lettuce). Its description in RNAcentral is "long non-coding RNA (LSAT_LNC000924)". Lineage: Eukaryota; Viridiplantae; Streptophyta; Magnoliopsida; Asterales; Asteraceae. The record is from RNAcentral.
UUCUAUGACUUCGGCUCAGGAGGCAGCCAGCUAUUGUUGCAGGGUCUCAUUGGUUCUCCUGGCCCUUUCCAUUUCUUCUUCAAGACGGCGGAUGUGGACUGUGUUGACACCAGAGUUGGCAUCAAUCUCCAUGACUCGGUCGAUGGCUGCUCGACCUUGUUCAACAUUACGAGCUAUUCUACGGAUAAUGACGGGUAGAGCUCGAUCCGAAGAGCCACCUUCGUUGAGAUUGUAAAAGCUUCGGUCCCCAAAGUAAGGUAAGGGUUGACCCUGUCCGUUGCUCCAGCGAUUCAAGUUGGUUGCGCACAAGGGUGUGGGACCUGGGAAAGCUAGUCGGGGAUUGUUGUUUGGGGCUUGACCUACUGGCGGUAGGUUGUUUACUUCAGGCUCAGAGUCAGAUCCAUCCGAAAAGCCCUAUGCGAGGUGAUCAUCUAAAGGGAUUGGAUGCUCAUAUUCGGGCUCUUCUUCAGGCCAUCCAACAUUGCCUUCAUUUGGGAAGUACGGGUCGCCAUGAUGGAAUCCAGCCAUUUAAAUCUACGCAAGAAUAGAGGUAUAAGAAUCUAGUAUAUAAGUAGCUUGUAGUAGCACAAAAUACCCCUACAGUAUUUUAAGUUUAGGUUCUACUGUUCUCCUUAUGGUAUUGUUGGUAAGUUUUUAGACUUGUUAACAUAUCACAACCAUUCUAGGGCAUAUGAUAAUCACUCCUCGGACCAGCAUAGUUGAUCAGGCUAUGCCAUUCCAAGGACUGACCAUACAUCCCCGAGCUUACAUGUGAUAUUUAACAAUCAUAAUACUUUUGUUCUUGUCAUUGUGACACUGAUUUUAGUAUGAAUGCAGACUUGUAUACUUAAUUAAAUAUUUUAGUAUUUAAAGUAUAGACUCUUGGUCAGAGUGUUAUAAUCCUAAAUGGGUUUAUAGUUAGUAUAUNAGAGUCAGAUCAUCCGAAAAGCCCUAUGCGAGGUGAUCAUCUAAAGGGAUUGGAUGCUCAUAUUCGGGCUCUUCUUCAGGCCAUCCAACAUUGCCUUCAUUUGGGAAGUACGGGUCGCCAUGAUGGAAUCCAGCCAUUUAAAUCUACGCGAGAAGAGAGGUAUAAGAAUCUAGUAUAUAAAUAGCUUGUAGUAGCACAAAAUACCCCUACAGUAUUUUAAGUUUAGGUUCUACUGUUCUCCUUAUGGUAUUGUUGGUAAGUUUUUAGACUUAUUAACAUAUCACAACCAUUCUAGGGCAUAUGCUAAUCACUCCUCGGACCAGCAUAGUUGAUCAGGCUAUGCCAUUCCAAGGACUGACCAUACAUCCCCGAGCUUACAUGUGAUAUUUAACAAUCAUAAUACUUUUGUUCUUGUCAUUAUGACACUGAUUUUAGUAUGAAUGCAGACUUGUAUACUUAAUUAAAUAUUUUAGUAUUUAAAGUAUAGACUCUUGGUCAGAGUGUUAUAAUCCUAAAUGGGUUUAUAGUUA